AAUAUGGCCACUGGAAACGAGAUAGAGAUGUAGAUUGUUCAGACCCUGAACAAGAAGAGGCUCCCAAACAAGUUCAAGAAUGUAGGGUACAACAGGACGUUUCUGAAUGGUGUAUUUGUGCCAAGUGUGAGCAAAUUCCUACAGAGCCUGAGAAUCAAUGCUGCAGGAAGAUACCACAGGUUACAAGAAGACUACUGCAGCUUCAGAACCAAACUAUCUGCAUGGUCGACCACCCAGGCCUGGAACCUGUGUUUGAAUGUGUUCUCACUACAGAAUGCAUUCAACAUUUACAGGGCAGAUUAUGGGCCUUUACGUCAAAGAGGAAUAGAGCAGUACGUUUUUUUUUUUUUAUGCAUGAGUUAUCAGUCAUUUCUGCAAUACAAAUAUGACUGGCGAAUAAAAUACAAUAAAUUACUCUUCCCCCUGAGUUACUUUGCUAACUGCUCAUCUUACACGUGUCAAUUGUUGACAUGUUACACAUCAAACACUAAAAGCACAGAAAUCUUUUUGUAUACACUAUACACAGAUUGCUAGAAAGAAUGCCACAGAGCUUUUUAAA
Clupea harengus (Atlantic herring) is the source of this 559-nucleotide long non-coding RNA. The record is from Ensembl. Lineage: Eukaryota; Metazoa; Chordata; Actinopteri; Clupeiformes; Clupeidae.